This 376-nucleotide ribosomal RNA is filed under the name uncultured bacterium. Its description in RNAcentral is "bacterial SSU rRNA". It matches the Rfam family "Bacterial small subunit ribosomal RNA", at positions 524 to 898 of the family's 1533-position model. The record is from RNAcentral.
UACGGAGGGUGCGAGCGUUGUUCGGAAUUACUGGGCGUAAAGCGCGUGUAGGCGGCCUUGCAAGUCAGGCGUGAAAGCCCUCGGCUUAACCGGGGAAGUGCGUCUGAAACUGCUUGGCUUGAGUACGGGAGAGGGAGGCGGAAUUCCCAGUGUAGAGGUGAAAUUCGUAGAUAUUGGGAGGAACACCGGUGGCGAAAGCGGCCUCCUGGACCGAUACUGACGCUGAGACGCGAAAGCGUGGGGAGCAAACAGGAUUAGAUACCCUGGUAGUCCACGCGGUAAACGAUGGGCACUAGGUGUGGGGGGUAUCCACUCCUCCCGUGCCGAAGCUAACGCAUUAAGUGCCCCGCCUGGGGAGUACGGCCGCAAGGUUAAA